This 400-nucleotide ribosomal RNA is filed under the name uncultured bacterium. RNAcentral's name for it is "bacterial SSU rRNA". It matches the Rfam family "Bacterial small subunit ribosomal RNA", at positions 355 to 752 of the family's 1533-position model. The record is from RNAcentral.
UCGAGGAUCUUUAGCAAUGGGCGAAAGCCUGACUAUGCGACGCCGCGUGAGGGAUGAAGGUUUUCGGAUCGUAAACCUCUUUCGAUGGGGAAGAAACUCCCGGUUAACUGCCGGGACUGACGGUACCCAGAGAAGAAGCCACGGCCAACUCCGUGCCAGCAGCCGCGGUAAUACGGGGGUGGCGAGCGUUACUCGGAUUUAUUGGGUGUAAAGGGCAGGUAGGUGUCCCGGUAUGUCAACAGUGAAAUCCUAAGGCUCAACCUUAGAACUGCUGCUGAAACUGCCGGGAUUGAGGCUGAAAGAGGAGAGCGGAAUUCCCGGUGUAAGGGUGAAAUCUGUAGAUAUCGGGAGGAACACCAGUGGCGAAAGCGGCUCUCUGGUUCAGCCCUGACGCUAAGCU